GCCCUUUUCUUGUUGCCCUGCU
Molecule: microRNA, 22 nt
Filed under: Sarcophilus harrisii (Tasmanian devil)
Lineage: Eukaryota; Metazoa; Chordata; Mammalia; Dasyuromorphia; Dasyuridae
Also listed under: 1 other name
Description: Sha-Mir-130-P1a_5p* (star (passenger))
Source: RNAcentral